RNAcentral lists this ribosomal RNA (465 nucleotides) under uncultured bacterium. Its description in RNAcentral is "partial 16S ribosomal RNA". It matches the Rfam family "Bacterial small subunit ribosomal RNA", at positions 338 to 795 of the family's 1533-position model. The record is from RNAcentral.
CCUACGGGUGGCAGCAGUAGGGAAUCUUCCACAAUGGGCGCAAGCCUGAGGGAGCAACACCGCGUGAGUGAAGAAGGGGUUCGGCGCGGAAAGCUCGGUUGGUGGAGAAGAACGUGCGUGAGAGUAACUGUUCACGCAGGGACGGUAUCAAACCAGAAAGUCACGGCUAACUACGUGCGAGCAGCCGCGGCAAUACGUCGGUGGCAAGCGUUAGCCGGAUUUAUUGGGCGGAAAGCUAGCGCAGGCGGUUGCUUAGGUGUGCUGUGAAAGUCUUCGGCUUAACCGAAGAAGUGCAUCGGAAACCGGGCGACUUGAGUGCAGUAGAGGCCAGUGGACCUCCAUGUGUAGCUGUGAAAUGCGUAGAUAUAUGGAAGAACACCAGUGGCGAAGGCGGCUGUCUGGUCUGCAACUGACGCUGAGGCUCGACAGCCUGGGUAGCGAACAGGAUUAGAUACCCCAGUAGUC